CAUGAAGCCCUUCACGGAAGGUGUGAUGGCUUCCCGUGAAGCGCUUUCUCAGACAUUCACCACCCCUUCACAUGUCCUUGUCCUUCUCCCCUUCAGUCUGUCCCUAUAGUCACGAGUCGCAGUAGCAGAGCAUCAGAUCAGAGUACAAGCCAUACAACGUCGCCAUGAAUCCAGCUGCAAUCUCGCUGGUCAUCUUCCUCUUCUCCAUCUCAGCUGUCGCUCGUCUACAACCCCAUCGCGUCUCCAACAUCACCGUGCUCGGUUCAGUCUACUGCGAUGCCUGCUCCGACAACAGCUUCUCCAAGAACAGCUACUUCUUGCGAGGAGCACAAGUGGUGGUGCAAUGCAAGUUCGCCGUAGUCAACUCCACCUCCCAAGAAGAAAUGUCGAUCACGGCUUAUCGGACUACCGACCGAUUCGGCGUCUACAAGCUGGACAUCCCACCGGUGGACGGCCUUGAGUGUCACGAAGGCCGAGAGGUGAAGUCCAUGUGCCGCGCCAUCCUCGUCAGGAGCUCCUCCGCGCGCUGCAACACCACCGGCUUCACCCGGAGCUCCACCGCCCACGUAGCCUUCAAGGACCGCGAGACCGGUGCCUGCUACUACAAUCUCAACGCACUCAGCUACAAGCCGGUGAGGUCCAAGUGCAGCAAGGGGAGGGAAGCACCGGCGGAGGGAAGUGGACCGACUCUUGGCUCCUCCUUGUCGUUCAUAUUUUGGCCCAUUUUCCCGCCGGUAGGGAUUCCGUGGCCGAUCAGCUUGCCGUUCCCGUUCCCGCCACUGCCGUUUUUGCUUCCGCCGUCUCUUCCUUUCCCCUUUCCUCACUUUCCGUGGCCGGACCCUGCGUCGCUUCCGUUUACCAUCCCAUCGUGGCUUCUCCCGUUUCUAAAGCCGCCGUUCUUCCCUUUCCCUUUUCCGGCGCCAAAUCCACCCCCUGUUCUACUUUCUGAACCUUAAUUUGGAGAAAAAUUUGGACACUAGCAAAUCGUUGAAUGGAAGAUGGAGAUCGAUGUGACAGCAGACUAAUGGGCAAUUCCUAUGUGGAAAUUAAUCAUAACUAAUCAAAAACAGAUUUAUUGGGAAUCUGGAGGAGGUGGCGACUGAUGAACAAGGCCAAACGUAAAAGCCUGAAGGUGACUUUUGAUGGAACUGCUGGAGGACACUCUAGCGUAGGAAGGCAGGUCGUUUAGGAGGUGACUCAGGGUGCUAUGCCCAGGCUUGAAGAAUGAUUCUUCUUUCUCGGAAGACAGCGGCUUGGAAGAUUCAAGCAUGAGGAAGAUUCAAGCUUCCCACGCAUUAAAAUCACAAUUGAGGAAAUGGGCUAGCUGAGGACUCAAUGGAGGUCAAUCUCGAUCAUCAAGCUCUUGGAAUGAGGCUCAAUUUUUUUUUAUUAGGUAGUCCAUUUUCUCCUUACGAAGCACAAUUUAUGUACAUUUAGAAGGUUAAUCCCUAGAAUAUUCCUAUACAAGCUCAAUUAAACUUGUAUAACCACACAAAUCAUCUCUCACAGCUGCACAAACCAUUUAUCUAAAAAAAACAAAUGGAAGUGUCACGUGA
This is an RNA transcript of Zingiber officinale, 1556 nucleotides long. RefSeq lists it as uncharacterized. NCBI's taxonomy places the organism in Eukaryota, Viridiplantae, Streptophyta, Magnoliopsida, Zingiberales, Zingiberaceae. The record is from RefSeq and is a predicted model, not a curated record. The transcript has 3 exons.